AUUUAGUUCCCGGAAUCAGUUUUGGGCAAGAAUUUAGAAUAAAAAAAAAUUAUGAUUCUCCAUCCGAGAAUCAGAAAGAGAAUCAAAAGUGCCGAAGCCUUAUCUCCUCUCUACUCUCUCUCGUCCUCUCGUCUCGACUCUUCUCAUCAGUCUCAUUCUCUCCCUCCUCAAGAAUGGCGACGGCUGCUCCUCCCUCCGCAAGAACGGCGACGGCGACUGCUGCUUCUUCAUCGUUGAAGGGCGUCGUUCAAGGUGAGUUCCCUUCUAUGGGUGGUUCGGCGUCUGCGACGGGUGGCGCUCGUCGUCCGACCCCUGGGGCCGAUUCGGCUUCGCUCACCCUCGGCGAACUGGCCGAGGGCGAGCGACGGUGAGCUGGCCGAGGGGUCGCUCGCCGUCCGAUCCCUGGGGCCGACUCGGCGGGCGCCCUCGCCGAGCUGGCCGAGGGCGAGCGACGGCGAGCUGGCCGAGGGGUCGCUGGCCUUUUCUGUAUUGUGCUGGAUCUGUAAUUUUGUGUGCUG
This 518-nucleotide long non-coding RNA is filed under the name Eucalyptus grandis. RNAcentral describes it as "long non-coding RNA (EGRA_LNC006208)". The record is from RNAcentral. Lineage: Eukaryota; Viridiplantae; Streptophyta; Magnoliopsida; Myrtales; Myrtaceae.